GGGUUCCUUACCUUUGCUUAAUGCUUUUAUCGUUUAACUCAUUCGGUAAAUGUUGUUUGUCUUUAAUGAUACAGAGACAUACAAUAAUGUCAUGUGAUGGGUGUCGUAACCCAUACAAAUUUGAUUGCAUAUGAGAAAUGCAAUAUAGCUAGGAAGUGACCCCUAGGUCGUCUCUCAAGGACCAAACUGUGGUUCGAGUCUCAGGUCUAACACGUAGUGGGAGGAUUUUGAAAGUGGUUUGUGAAUGCGAAUCGACUAAAUUAAAACACGCAAAUUAAACUUAACUAACAUAAUUGAAACGGUUGGAUACUAAAGCUAACAUUACAACUAAAUUAUCACAAGUAAAAAAAAUAGAAAAUAUAAAAGUAAAUGAAAAUGCUUAAAUCCAACACUGCAAUGACAAUUAUCUAGCAUAGCUAAAAUUACUAUAAUUCAACACUAAAUUAGAGACAUAAAAACAAAUAAAAAUAAAAUGCAAAAUAAUUUAAAGCAAAAGAAAUUGAAAAAAAAAAUAAAGUUGUCUUCACUAAUUCAUGUGACCAUUGUGCACCUCCCAAAAGAAAUUAGAAUUACAAUUGCUUCAAAAAAAUAAUUCUCGA
This 599-nucleotide long non-coding RNA is filed under the name Vigna radiata. Its description in RNAcentral is "long non-coding RNA (VRAD_LNC010088)". The record is from RNAcentral. Lineage: Eukaryota; Viridiplantae; Streptophyta; Magnoliopsida; Fabales; Fabaceae.